RNAcentral lists this ribosomal RNA (254 nucleotides) under uncultured bacterium. RNAcentral's name for it is "partial 16S ribosomal RNA". It matches the Rfam family "Bacterial small subunit ribosomal RNA", at positions 526 to 779 of the family's 1533-position model. The record is from RNAcentral.
CGUAGGGGGCAAGCGUUAUCCGGAUUUACUGGGUGUAAAGGGAGCGUAGACGGACUGGCAAGUCUGAUGUGAAAGGCGGGGGCUCAACCCCUGGACUGCAUUGGAAACUGUUAGUCUUGAGUGCCGGAGAGGUAAGCGGAAUUCCUAGUGUAGCGGUGAAAUGCGUAGAUAUUAGGAGGAACACCAGUGGCGAAGGCGGCUUACUGGACGGUAACUGACGUUGAGGCUCGAAAGCGUGGGGAGCAAACAGGAUU